UUCUCAGUUGAUUAGGCGCAUUAACAUUUACACCUGCUACAUCUCACAACCAAUUGAUGACUACCUUGAUCCUAGAGAUUUUCCAGGUGUGCCUUCUAAAUUGUGACGGAGGGAGUAUAUGUAAGAAGAAAACGAUUUAGUGUUGUCAGAUUGUGGGGUGGGGGGAUGAACAGUGGGACCAAUGGUAAAAAUAAAAAUACAACCAAGAGCAAGAGGACACAGCUACUCAGGCUUUUUUGUUUCUAUCUCACCACCUAACCACGCGACCAAGGACAAAAAGUUCACGCAGAAUAUGGCAGGAAUCUCAUUGCAUUUGGUUUAUACUACAAUGGCCACCACAUGACAUCUUCAUGCUUUUAAACAGUUAGCGAGCAGAUUUGCAUCAUGGACAGCCGCUCGGAUUUCGAACGAAAUGUCGAAUGUUUGUCAUCAUUUGGAUCGUAUUCAUCAUCUACUGCCAGGAUUGAUGCCACUUGUUUAACAAAGAGUAGCAAAAUUUGAAUUAAACGGUCGCAGAGUAGCUGGCUCACCUCGUCUACGUCGCAGCAGCUUCUAUAAUUACCCAGGAUAGCAGACACACCAGCUGUUGUUUUGGUUGACGGUUUUCCUCCAUAAAAGCUGCAAGCCACCACCCCACCGUGCCUGCUGAAAGCAGAUCAUGUUUCUUACUCUACAAAUAGACACACAGCUAAGGUUAAUUAGCAUACUGAAAAGAACCCUAAACCCUAAACCAGGCUGCAAGCUCUAGUGUCAGUGGCGGAACUAGAUAAUUUACCAGCAGGAAUUUGCUUUUUGCGACGAAAAAACGUUGAAUUAUGCAAACAAUUGUUUCCGAUUAGACAACGGAACACCAUCAUUUUUUUUUUGCUCUGAAAUAAUUUAGCGUUGCCAGGUUGCGGUAAAAAGAUGAGCAAUCCAGAAGUUACCGCUGGAUUUGGAUUAUACAAUUGCCGCCACGAAACAAUGACAGCCGCAUACCAGGUCUGUAUACUGGAAAGACUCAGAUUUCGGCGAAAUGUUUUGUUCUCAUUCAUCUAUACUGUGUAGAAAUGAUGGCACCAAUUUACACGUGAACUAAAUAGUCCUAGCGUAGUUGCUUCAGAUAUGCGGCGCAUAGGAAAUCACACACAAUGAGUAGCACCACCACUGCCCAGAGCACAUGUAGAACAACAAUAUGUAGUAUUUUGAAUCAAUCAAGGUUGAAGACUCUCGAGCUAAGGACAACCUCACACAAGCUCUUCAAGAUGGUGACACCUUGAAGCUCUCCUAUGGCCGGUAGCCACAACGAGGCCAGCUUUGCAAUCUCAUCACACAUGCUCCCAGUCAGCAACCUAUUUGUGAUGUGCAUCUUGUGAAGUUCGUCGUGCGAACUCAGCUGGCUCGUUGAACUCCGCGGUCAAAGAUCAUAGCUGUGAGGUGAUGUCCCUAUGCCACCCAUACCCAUAUCUGUUGCUAGCUUGCUUGAAGCAAAAGAAAAUAAAAUGUAGGUGCUCAAGUGCCCCGAUGCUCAGGCUCAUCCCUUCCUGCACACUUGCUUAUCUUGAGAUAUGACUGGCAUAUAUAUUACCCUUUGCGGGAUUGUUAGGACAUGAGUUUCUCUCUUGUGCACCAACCCCGAAUGCCACAAUAAACAUCACAUACCAGCUUGUCACCUACUUCUCCUACCUCAAAGUACUCCUAGUGUAAAAAACUCGAUCCAAAAUUCAUGAAAAAAAAUAGUUGGUGAAAUUGACAUAUAACACAUACUAAUCAUGUUACAAGGAUCAAAUCCAAAUUUGUAACACAUAACUAGAAGCAAGAAAGAAAGACAAAUCUAGUUUGGACUAGUAUUUUUUCCAAUUUGGUCCAUCAAUCUGGAGCAUGGACAAUAUUAAUUUUGGAUUUUUCUUUUAUGUUUCUCAAACAAUUACUGGAGCUUGGACAUGAAAUCUGUUGUAGUAUUGUGUUGUGUUUUUUUCUAGAAUUUUUAGCAACUUCUAAAUGGACUAAAAUAUAUGGGAGUACUCCAUGUCAGGGAGUACGUGAUACCCCAGACAUUCGACAUUGUGCCUUCAAAUUCUGAAACGUAACAUGGAUUGAGCCAGGACACUUUGCGUAUCAAGCAGAGCCUGUUUGUACCUGCGUCCAGCACCCGAACGGCUCGAGUUCUCUAAGAAAAACGUUGGAAUCAAGCACUAUUACUGCACGAUUUGAUACUGCACCACAGUUUUCAGCUGCCGCCUAAACGGGCAACUGCUAACUGUACUAUAUGGUUUAUUACACCGAAUCAUGUGCAUGUUGUGACUACGUACGCACGUUUCACGAUUGACAGCCACCACCAUUAGUCUGACGCUACGGAAGUGUACUCUAUUGAUGGCAGAUUUAGAUGGUUGCUGCAUGCCCGUGCCAACAGAAAAAACGUAUUUGGAAUAAAGAAAAUGAAAACGAUGGCAACAACCAGCCUAUCAAUUAUUCAAGUGGGCACCAUUAUUAUACUUAUUCGUUAAAAAAUGAAUCAGUGUUGUCGGGUUGCAAGAAAAGAAAUUGAACACCGAGACCAAAAAUACAUCCAAGAGGACGCGGCCACCUACCACGAGUAAAAACUGGUGAAGAUAGACAAAAAUUCACGCGACAUGGCAGGAAUCUCAUUGCAUUUGGUUUAUAUUACAAUGGCACUACUCCUACAGGGCAUCUUCAUACUUUAAAACCAUUGCACAACAGAGUUGCAUAAUGGGCAGGCUCCAACUUCGAGCGAAAUAUUUUGUUACCAUUUGGAUCUUAUUUAGCGCCCACUAGCAGGAUUGGUACCACCAGGUUACCGAAGAGUACCUACUGAAAGCUGAAUAAAACGACUGUGCAGUAGCUGGCUCACUCACCUCAUCUAUGUGGCAGAGCAAGCUUUGCCAGCAGGGUCUCUAGAAGUGUUUCCCUCGCUCGUUGUCCCAGAUAAGUGAAUCCCAUAAAUGCUGCAAGCCCACCACUCCACUCUGCCUGCUGAAAGCAGAUCAUGUUUCUUGCU
This 2998-nucleotide long non-coding RNA is filed under the name Hordeum vulgare. RNAcentral's name for it is "long non-coding RNA (HVUL_LNC008583)". Lineage: Eukaryota; Viridiplantae; Streptophyta; Magnoliopsida; Poales; Poaceae. The record is from RNAcentral.